GCCCCCGAAUGCUGCCCCUGAACAGGCGCCUUCUAAGCGCUUGGCCGCAGGUUCGAGUCCUGCCGGGGGCGCCA
This 74-nucleotide transfer RNA is filed under the name Streptomyces yaanensis. RNAcentral describes it as "tRNA-OTHER". It matches the Rfam family "tRNA". Rfam says of the family: Transfer RNA (tRNA) molecules are approximately 80 nucleotides in length. Lineage: Bacteria; Bacillati; Actinomycetota; Actinomycetes; Kitasatosporales; Streptomycetaceae. The record is from RNAcentral.